UGAGUGCAGCAUAGGUAGGCGGAAUUCGUGGUGUAGCGGUGAAAUGCUUAGAUAUCACGAAGAACUCCGAUUGCGAAGGCAGCUUACUGGACUGUAACUGACGCUGAUGCUCGAAAGUGUGGGUAUCAAACAGGAUUAGAUACCCUGGUAGUCCACACAGUAAACGAUGAAUACUCGCUGUUGGCGAUACACAGUCAGCGGCCAAGCGAAAGCAUUAAGUAUUCCACCUGGGGAGUACGCCGGCAACGGUGAAACUCAAAGGAAUUGACGGGGGCCCGCACAAGCGGAGGAACAUGUGGUUUAAUUCGAUGAUACGCGAGGAACCUUACCCGGGCUUAAAUUGCAGUGGAAUGUAGUGGAAACAUUACAGCCUUCGGGCCGCUGUGAAGGUGCUGCAUGGUUGUCGUCAGCUCGUGCCGUGAGGUGUCGGCUUAAGUGCCAUAACGAGCGCAACCCUUAUCUAUAGUUACUAUCAGGUCAUGCUGAGGACUCUAUGGAGACUGCCGUCGUAAGAUGUGAGGAAGGUGGGGAUGACGUCAAAUCAGCACGGCCCUUACGUCCGGGGCUACACACGUGUUACAAUGGGGGGUACAGAAGGCAGCUACCUGGCGACAGGAUGCUAAUCCCUAAAACCUCUCUCAGUUCGGAUUGGAGUCUGCAACCCGACUCCAUGAAGCUGGAUUCGCUAGUAAUCGCGCAUCAGCCACGGCGCGGUGAAUACGUUCCCGGGCCUUGUACACACCGCCCGUCAAGCCAUGAAAGCCGGGGGUACCUGAAGUACGUAACCGCAAGGAGCGUCCUAGGGUAAAACUGGUGAUUGGGGCUAAGUCGUAACAAGGUAGCCGUACCGGAAGGUGCGGCUG
Molecule: ribosomal RNA, 863 nt
Filed under: gut metagenome
Description: bacterial SSU rRNA
Rfam family: Bacterial small subunit ribosomal RNA
Source: RNAcentral